GAUGAACGCUGGCUACAGGCUUAACACAUGCAAGUCGAGGGGAAACGCCGGGGAAGCUUGCUUCCCCGGGCGUCGACCGGCGCACGGGUGAGUAACGCGUAUCCAACCUGCCUCUGACUGAGGGAUAACCCGUCGAAAGUCGGCCUAAUACCUCAUGGCAUCGUCUGCGGGCAUCCAACGACGAUUAAAGAUUUCAUCGGCCAAAAAUGGGGAUGCGUCUGAUUAGCUUGUUGGCGGGGUAACGGCCCACCAAGGCGACGAUCAGUAGGGGUUCUGAGAGGAAGGUCCCCCACAUUGGAACUGAGACACGGUCCAAACUGCUACGGAGGGCAGCAGUGAGGAAUAUAGGUCAAUGGGCGAGAGCCUGAACCAGCCAAGUAGCGUGCAGGAUGCCGGCCCUAUGGGUUGUAAACUGCUUUUAUGCGGGGAUAAAGUGAGGGACGUGUCCUUCAUUGCAGGUACCGCAUGAAUAAGGACCGGCUAAUUCCGUG
Molecule: ribosomal RNA, 491 nt
Filed under: uncultured bacterium
Lineage: Bacteria
Description: partial 16S ribosomal RNA
Rfam family: Bacterial small subunit ribosomal RNA
Source: RNAcentral